Molecule: ribosomal RNA, 239 nt
Filed under: uncultured bacterium
Lineage: Bacteria
Description: partial 16S ribosomal RNA
Rfam family: Bacterial small subunit ribosomal RNA
Source: RNAcentral
GAUCCUGGCUCAGGACGAACGCUGGCGGCGUGCUUAACACAUGCAAGUCGAACGAAGCACUUUGAAGGAAUUCUUCGGAAGGAAUUCAACUUGACUUAGUGGCGGACGGGUGAGUAACGCGUGAGCAACCUGCCUACAAGAGGGGGACAACAGUUGGAAACGACUGCUAAUACCGCAUAAGACCACGCUAUCGCAUGGUAGAGAGGUCAAAGAUUUAUCGCUUGUAGAUGGGCUCGCGU